GACGAACGCUGGCGGCGUGCCUAAUACAUGCAAGUCGAGCGGAACUGGGGGAGCUUGCUCCUUCCAGUUUAGCGGCGGACGGGUGAGUAACACGUGGGCAACCUGCCCUGCAGAUCGGGAUAACUCCGGGAAACCGGUGCUAAUACCGAAUAGUUUGGCGCCUCUCCUGAGGCGCUACGGAAAGACGGUUUCGGCUGUCACUGCAGGAUGGGCCCGCGGCGCAUUAGCUAGUUGGUGGGGUAACGGCCCACCAAGGCGACGAUGCGUAGCCGACCUGAGAGGGUGGACGGCCACACGGGGACUGAGACACGGCCCAGACUCCUACGGGAGGCAGCAGUAGGGAAUCUUCCGCAAUGGACGCAAGUCUGACGGAGCAACGCCGCGUGAGUGACGAAGGUUUUCGGAUCGUAAAACUCUGUUGUGAGGGAAGAACACGUACCAACUAACUAUUGGUACCUUGACGGUACCUCGCCAGAAAGCCACGGCUAACUACGUGCCAGCCGCCGCAGUAA
Molecule: ribosomal RNA, 512 nt
Filed under: uncultured bacterium
Lineage: Bacteria
Description: partial 16S ribosomal RNA
Rfam family: Bacterial small subunit ribosomal RNA
Source: RNAcentral